RNAcentral lists this ribosomal RNA (468 nucleotides) under uncultured bacterium. Its description in RNAcentral is "partial 16S ribosomal RNA". It matches the Rfam family "Bacterial small subunit ribosomal RNA", at positions 28 to 507 of the family's 1533-position model. The record is from RNAcentral.
GACGAACGCUGGCGGCGUGCUUAACACAUGCAAGUCGAACGGAAAGGCCCUGCUUUUGUGGGGUGCUCGAGUGGCGAACGGGUGAGUAACACGUGAGUAACCUGCCCUUGACUUUGGGAUAACUUCAGGAAACUGGGGCUAAUACCGGAUAGGAGCUCCUGCUGCAUGGUGGGGGUUGGAAAGUUUCGGCGGUUGGGGAUGGACUCGCGGCUUAUCAGCUUGUUGGUGGGGUAGUGGCUUACCAAGGCUUUGACGGGUAGCCGGCCUGAGAGGGUGACCGGCCACAUUGGGACUGAGAUACGGCCCAGACUCCUACGGGAGGCAGCAGUGGGGAAUAUUGCACAACGGGCGGAAGCCUGAUGCAGCAACGCCGCGUGCGGGAUGACAGCCUUCGGGUUGUAAACCGCUUUCGCCUGUGACGAAGCGUGAGUGACGGUAAUGGGUAAAGAAGCACCGGCUAACUACGUG